CCAUGGCUGUCCCCACUCUGGAAAGCCCCCAUCCCUCUAAAGAUUAAGAUCUUCAUUUGGCAAUUAUUACGGGACCGCCUCCCCUCGGGGACUGAGGUGCGUAAACGGCACAGACCUGGUGAUGGUCUUUGCCAUCUCUGUGCGGUACCGGAAACCGGGACCCAUAUCCUAUUCUCGUGUACCGCGGCGAGGGUACUUUGGGCGUAUGUCCGCGAAGCGUUGGGGCCUGACUGGGAGGCCCUCAACCUCGCUGAGUUUCUCCAACUUAGAGCUCUUCAGCCGUCACGUCAUCGCCGCCUUUUUUGGCUUAUUUUUGCGGCGAUGACAUGGACUCUUUGGACGACUAGGAAUAAGAUGGUGAUUGAGAAGGUUUUCCCGAGGAAGGCGUCUGACUCCUUCAAAUUCCCUUCUUUCCUGCAGCACUGGCACCCGCUCUCGAGGCAGCGUGAUCGUGACCGGCUUGGAGGGAUGAUGGAUGAACUCCAGGCUUCAGCGCGUCGACUAUCUUCCCUGUAA
RNAcentral lists this ribosomal RNA (516 nucleotides) under Triticum aestivum (bread wheat). RNAcentral describes it as "partial small subunit ribosomal RNA". The record is from RNAcentral. Lineage: Eukaryota; Viridiplantae; Streptophyta; Magnoliopsida; Poales; Poaceae.